UGGGGCGUGGCGAAAUUGGUAGACGCACUGGAUUUAGGUUCCAGCGCCGCAAGGUGUAAGAGUUCGAGUCUCUUCGCCCCCACCA
This 85-nucleotide transfer RNA is filed under the name Acinetobacter baumannii. Its description in RNAcentral is "tRNA-Leu". It matches the Rfam family "tRNA". Rfam says of the family: Transfer RNA (tRNA) molecules are approximately 80 nucleotides in length. Their secondary structure includes four short double-helical elements and three loops (D, anti-codon, and T loops). Lineage: Bacteria; Pseudomonadati; Pseudomonadota; Gammaproteobacteria; Moraxellales; Moraxellaceae. The record is from RNAcentral.